UACGUAGGGUGCAGGCGUUAAUCGGAAUUACUGGGCGUAAAGCGUGCGCAGGCGGUCUGCUAAGAGAGGUGUGAAAUCCCCGGGCUCAACUGGGGAGGGUCACUCGAUACUGAUCGACUUGAAGGCAGGAGAGGGAAGCGGAAUUCCCGGUGUAGUGGUGAAAUGCGUAGAUAUCGGGAGGAACACCAGUGGCGAAGGCGGCUUCCUGGCCUGUUCUUGACGCUGAGGCGCGAAAGCUAGGGGAGCAAACGGG
This 253-nucleotide ribosomal RNA is filed under the name uncultured bacterium. RNAcentral describes it as "partial 16S ribosomal RNA". It matches the Rfam family "Bacterial small subunit ribosomal RNA", at positions 524 to 776 of the family's 1533-position model. The record is from RNAcentral.